Stegostoma tigrinum is the source of this 1960-nucleotide long non-coding RNA. RefSeq lists it as uncharacterized. NCBI's taxonomy places the organism in Eukaryota, Metazoa, Chordata, Chondrichthyes, Orectolobiformes, Stegostomatidae. The record is from RefSeq and is a predicted model, not a curated record. The transcript is spliced from 5 exons.
UAAAUUGAUGUUUUUACAUCUCAUAUUGGUGUCACUGUGUGAAACAAAUGCCGCUUCAGAAUUUCAGUCAAAUGUCAUGCAAACCUGAAACAGUUGAAGAAAAUUUGGACUCUGUAAUGCAAAUAAAAUCCAUCUUUCUGGAACACUGCUGAAUUAGGAGGUGGAUUUGCAUAGCUGUGACUGUCUGACAAGAUAAACCUCAAAAACUGCUUUUCUGAAAACAGGGUGUGUGGCAGAUUUAUUCAUCACCACAACCAAGAACAUUUAAGGCCUGGGAAGAUUCUACUCAACAUAUCGACUCCUCUAGAUACAAAGCAAGGCAAGACAGAAGUAUUUUCUGAAGAAGGGUCUGGACUCGAAGCGUUAGGUUCCCUGCUCCUCCAGCUCUAAACCUUCUUAUCUCAGAUUCUCCAGCAUUGGCCGUUCAUACUAUCUCUGAGUAUUGUACACCUUCCAUCUCUUGUAGAGGGAGCAAAUAUAAAAGGGCAAGAAAAGGCCAAGAUACUGUGACCAUCCAGGUGUAUGGAUGACACUUCUAAAGAUUUGGCAAGGAGAUGGCCUGUCAGAAUUUCGAACCAUCAGUUCAGGAAUCCACAAACAAUCCAAACGUUCUGCUGAGUCUAUUUGAAGAGGAGCAGAGCAUCCCUCCGAUUCAAUACCUACCAUCAACCAGAGCUACUGAAACAAAUGAGAGAAGCACGGAUAGAGUCGCAGCACAGAAUGAGACCAUUCAGCCCAUUGUAUCUAUGUGCCUGAAAGCGUUAUCAUGACCAAUUAUAAUUUCCAGUUAUUAGUCUUUAAUCUUAUAAAUGAUAGCACUUCAAGCACUUACACGUAUUUCUAGAAUCCUAGACCCACUACAUCUUGUGGAUAAUACUAUUUUUCCUCCACUGCCCUUCAAUCAGUUAACAAUUACUUUAAAAAUAAUAUGAUCAUUCAUUUCAUUGUCAUUCAUGGGAUUCCCUCUCUGUGUGGGAUGUUGCUGUGUAGAAACUCCUGCAGCGUUCCUCCUUUCUGUGCAACCUUGCUGUGCACAAACUAUAGCAGCAUUUCCUCUCUUUGUUGGAGCUUGCUGUGCACAAAGCAGCAUUCCCUCUCUGUGUGGAACCUUUCUGUGCACAAACUACAGCAGGGUUCCCUCUCAGUGUGUGAGCUUGCUUUGUACAAACCAGCAUUCCCUCUCAGUGUGGUAUCUUGCUGUGCACAAACUACAGCAGCAUUCUCUCUCUGUGUGACAGUUUACUGUGCACAGAGCAACAUUCCCUUUCUACCAGAUGGGAGAUUAAAGAAGGGUGCGAUGGAAGUGUUCUGUGUAUUCCUGUAGGUGAUGUGCUUGGCAAAUAAUUUGUGCAUUAUCUACCCAAAGGAAACUGUAACAGCAGGUCCUCGGCACCACUAAGACAUGCAAAUGCCUGACUAAUAAUAUUUCUGAAUGUUUCCUCUGAGCUAUAUGCUCUCAGUAAAAUGCAACAGUCUCAGUGGCAUUUUAUGCAUUCCUGUGUAAUCAAUAGCCAAUGUACUGCAGCCACUAAGAGGCCAUUAAUCAUAUUGGCAGGCUGUGGUGCACCAGCGUUUGUUGGAAACUGCUUUCAUGGGAUUUGGUUCAGGUACAGCCCUGUGCCACUCACCUUAGGUGUACCAGUUGCUACCAUGUAACAGGCACAAGGGGGAACUGUAUGAUCAGCUUUGGCUUCACCAGACUUCAACAUAUUCAACUUCUGAUCUAUAGAGAUCGUAUUGUGGAAUUCAUCAGAGACAUGUCAUGCAGAGUCAGAUCUACUUUAGUAUCUAUGAAAUUAGGAACCUGCAAAGAACCACACCAUACAUUUUGUUUCUACAGGGCCUCCAGUUUUAGCCAGGGAGAGUACUGGCAAUGACUGGUGAGUCAGAGAAAUAUGAAAGAGGUUUCAGAGAUAGUAGGAACAGCAGAUGCUGGAGAAUAUGAGAUACCAAGGUGUAG